GUGGGGAAUAUUGGACAAUGGGCGAAAGCCUGAUCCAGCCAUGCCGCGUGUGUGAAGAAGGUCUUCGGAUUGUAAAGCACUUUAAGUUGGGAGGAAGGGCAGUAAGUUAAUACCUUGCUGUUUUGACGUUACCGACAGAAUAAGCACCGGCUAACUACGUGCCAGCAGCCGCGGUAAUACGUAGGGUGCGAGCGUUAAUCGGAAUUACUGGGCGUAAAGCGUGCGCAGGCGGUUUUGUAAGUUGGAGGUGAAAUCCCCGGGCUCAACCUGGGAACUGCCUCCAAAACUGCAUGACUAGAGUACGGUAGAGGGUAGUGGAAUUUCCUGUGUAGCGGUGAAAUGCGUAGAUAUAGGAAGGAACACCAGUGGCGAAGGCGACUACCUGGACUGAUACUGACACUGAGGUGCGAAAGCGUGGGGAGCAAACAGGAUUAGAUACCCGUGUAGUCC
This 450-nucleotide ribosomal RNA is filed under the name uncultured bacterium. RNAcentral describes it as "bacterial SSU rRNA". It matches the Rfam family "Bacterial small subunit ribosomal RNA", at positions 354 to 796 of the family's 1533-position model. The record is from RNAcentral.